CAAGUCGAGUGCGCGGUUGUAGCAAUACAACUGGCGCACGGCGCACGGGUGCGUAACACGUGGGUAACCUGCCCUUUGGUGGGGAAUAACUCCGCGAAAGCGGAGCUAAUUCCGCAUAAGAUCCGCAAGGAUGAAAGCAGCAAUGCGCCGAAGGAGGGGCCCGCGCCCGAUUAGCUAGUUGGUGAGGUAAUGGCUCACCAAGGCUUUGAUCGGUAGCUGGUCUGAGAGGAUGAUCAGCCACACUGGAACUGAGACACGGUCCAGACUCCUACGGGAGGCAGCAGUGGGGAAUCUUGCACAAUGGGCGAAAGCCUGAUGCAGCGACGCCGCGUGGGGGAUGAAGCAUUUCGGUGUGUAAACCCCUUUCGAUCCGGACGAAACCCCGCAAGGGAUUGACGGUACGGAUAUAAGAAGCCCCGGCUAACUACGUGCCAGCAGCCGCGGUAAGACGUAGGGGGCCAGCGUUGUUCGGAAUUACUGGGUGUAAAGGGUUCGUAGGCGGCGCGGCAAGUUGGGAGUGAAAUCUCUGGGCUUAACCCAGAGGCUGCUUCCAAAACUGCUGUGCUUGAGUGUGGGAGAGGCGCGUGGAAUUGCAGGUGUAGCGGUGAAAUGCGUAGAUAUCUGCAGGAACACCCGUGGCGAAAGCGGCGCGCUGGACCACUACUGACGCUGAGGAACGAAAGCUAGGGGAGCAAACAGGAUUAGAUACCCUGGUAGUCCUAGCCCUAAACGAUCAGGACUUGGGGUGCCACCCGUUCGGGUGUCGUCCCGGAGCUAACGCGUUAAGUCCUGCACCUGGGGAGUACGGUCGCAAGACUGAAACUCAAAGGAAUUGACGGGGGCCC
RNAcentral lists this ribosomal RNA (845 nucleotides) under uncultured Acidobacteriota bacterium. RNAcentral describes it as "bacterial SSU rRNA". It matches the Rfam family "Bacterial small subunit ribosomal RNA", at positions 58 to 922 of the family's 1533-position model. Lineage: Bacteria; Pseudomonadati; Acidobacteriota. The record is from RNAcentral.